This 640-nucleotide ribosomal RNA is filed under the name Phyllosticta fallopiae. RNAcentral describes it as "eukaryotic LSU rRNA". It matches the Rfam family "Eukaryotic large subunit ribosomal RNA", at positions 1 to 655 of the family's 3401-position model. The record is from RNAcentral. Lineage: Eukaryota; Fungi; Ascomycota; Dothideomycetes; Botryosphaeriales; Phyllostictaceae.
UUGACCUCGGAUCAGGUAGGGAUACCCGCUGAACUUAAGCAUAUCAAUAAGCGGAGGAAAAGAAACCAACAGGGAUUGCCUUAGUAACGGCGAGUGAAGCGGCAAUAGCUCAAAUUUGAAAGCUGGCGUCUUCGACGUCCGCGUUGUAAUUUGUAGAGGAUGCUUCGGCGAAGACUCCUGCCUAAGUCCCCUGGAACGGGGCGUCAUAGAGGGUGAGAAUCCCGUAUGUGGCGGGCAGUCUAAGCCAUGUGAAGCUCCUUCGACGAGUCGAGUUGUUUGGGAAUGCAGCUCUAAAUGGGAGGUAAAUUUCUUCUAAAGCUAAAUAUUGGCCAGAGACCGAUAGCGCACAAGUAGAGUGAUCGAAAGAUGAAAAGCACUUUGGAAAGAGAGUUAAAAAGUACGUGAAAUUGUUGAAAGGGAAGCGCUUGCAACCAGACUCGCUCGUAGUUGCUCAGCCGGCCUCUUGGCCGGUGUACUCUUCUACGAUCGGGCCAGCAUCAGUUCGGGCGGCAGGAUAAAGGUGUCGGGAAUGUAGCACCCUUCGGGGUGUGUUAUAGCCCGGCGCGGAAUGCUGCCAGCCUGGACUGAGGAUCUCGCUUCGGCAAGGAUGCUGGCGUAAUGGUUGUAAGCGGCCCGUCUU